This 499-nucleotide ribosomal RNA is filed under the name uncultured Glomeromycotina. RNAcentral's name for it is "partial small subunit ribosomal RNA". It matches the Rfam family "Eukaryotic small subunit ribosomal RNA", at positions 591 to 1092 of the family's 1831-position model. The record is from RNAcentral. Lineage: Eukaryota; Fungi; Glomeromycota.
CCAAUAGCGUAUAUUAAAGUUGUUGCAGUUAAAAAGCUCGUAGUUGAAUUUCGGGAUUAGUAGGUUGGUCGUGCCUCUGGUAUGUACUCGCCUUACUGGUUCCUCCUUCUUGAAGAACUGUAAUGCCAUUAAUUUGGUGUUGCAGGGAAACAGGACUGUUACUUUGAAAAAAUUAGAGUGUUUAAAGCAGGCCAACGCCUGAAUACAUUAGCAUGGGAUAAUGAAAUAGGACGUUGAUCCUAUUUUGUUGGUUUCUAGGAUUGACGUAAUGAUUAAUAGGGAUAGUUGGGGGCAUUAAUAUUCAAUUGUCAGAGGUGAAAUUCUUGGAUUUAUUGAAGACUAACUACUGCGAAAGCAUUUGCCAAGGAUGUUUUCAUUAAUCAAGAACGAAAGUUAGGGGAUCGAAGACGAUCAGAUACCGUCGUAGUCUUAACCAUAAACUAUGCCGACUAGGGAUCGGAUGAUGUUAAUUUUUUAAUGACUCAUUCGGCGCCUUACG